GAUGAACGCUAGCUACAGGCUUAACACAUGCAAGUCGAGGGGCAGCACAGUGUAGCAAUACACGGGUGGCGACCGGCGCACGGGUGCGUAACGCGUAUCCAACCUUCCCGUUACUCAGGGAUAGCCUUCCGAAAGGGAGAUUAAUACCUGAUGGUGUUGAAAUUCCGCAUGUUAUUCAACUAAAGAUUUAUCGGUAACGGAUAGGGAUGCGUGACAUUAGAUAGUAGGCGGGGUAACGGCCCACCUAGUCUACGAUGUCUAGGGGUUCUGAGAGGAAGGUCCCCCACACUGGUACUGAGAUACGGACCAGACUCCUACGGGAGGCAGCAGUGAGGAAUAUUGGUCAAUGGUCGGAAGACUGAACCAGCCAUGCCGCGUGCAGGAAGAAUGUCUUAUGGAUUGUAAACUGCUUUUGUAUGGGGCUAAUAAUAACUUUGCGAAGUUAGAUGCAGGUACCAUACGAAUAAGGAUCGGCUAACUCCGUG
RNAcentral lists this ribosomal RNA (485 nucleotides) under uncultured bacterium. RNAcentral's name for it is "bacterial SSU rRNA". It matches the Rfam family "Bacterial small subunit ribosomal RNA", at positions 28 to 507 of the family's 1533-position model. The record is from RNAcentral.